GGGGUUGUGGCUCAGUGGUAGAGUGCUUGCUUAGUACGCAUGAGGCACUAGGUUCGAUUCUCAACACCA
Molecule: transfer RNA, 69 nt
Filed under: Marmota marmota marmota (Alpine marmot)
Lineage: Eukaryota; Metazoa; Chordata; Mammalia; Rodentia; Sciuridae
Also listed under: 1 other name
Rfam family: tRNA
About the family: Transfer RNA (tRNA) molecules are approximately 80 nucleotides in length. Their secondary structure includes four short double-helical elements and three loops (D, anti-codon, and T loops).
Source: Rfam by way of RNAcentral